Molecule: long non-coding RNA, 2349 nt
Filed under: Anthonomus grandis grandis
Lineage: Eukaryota; Metazoa; Arthropoda; Insecta; Coleoptera; Curculionidae
Description: uncharacterized LOC126749152
Source: RNAcentral
AUUACAUUAAGGGUCAAUAAGCAACAAGGAAAUUUUUCCAAAAAAAACGAUAGAAAAUAGUAAAAUUCUUUAACCAUCCUUUAGGUAAGCUUUUAAAAAAUGGCCUAAAUUAAACAGAGAGCAUUGACCUAGCAAGUGAUGAUUAUAAAUACAAUAUAAGGUCAAAAUGAGAUCAUUUUGUAACACAGAAAUAAUGAAAACUUGAAGGCAAUUAAAUGGAGUCGAGACACAGAAAUAGAAGUUUAUUGUUGUUGGAGCAGAGGAUUCCCUCUGAAGCAAGUAUCACUUGAUCACUGAUAAAAUACCAGAAUGAAGAAAAUGACUACAAUAUAAUAUGAAAUUAAGGCCACAGGACCAUUGUAGGUUAAAGUAAUCCUGUAUUGACCCCAACGCACUAGUAACAUCAAAGGUGCCACGUGCAUUAAUGCGUCAGAGAUCCAAAUUCUUCAAUAAUGGUAUUCAGGGUUGAGAAAAUUUCUCGUGGAUGCAGAUUUUGUGAAGAGAAUAAGGAAAGUCGUUGCAUAGAUCUCGAUGGCUGUCAAGUUUUAGAAGAAGAAUUAGCAUCUUUGAAACCGUCAUAGCUACUAGCCCUUAUCACAGCCAUAGGAUUGUACAAGUUUUUUAUUGGAUCACGUCUUGAAGAAUACCCAAAAGAAAAGAAGUGUGACUUAGCCUUAGGCCAAUAUUGGAAAAGCCGGAGGAACCAAUAUGGACUUGGAAAAAAGGAAUUGCAAAUUAUAAAAGAGAUCCCGGAUAAAAAGAGGCGCUACUAGCAAAUUGAAUUCAUCCACUUCCGACCCCUUCAAAAUGAACUUAAAUCGAUUCCCGCCAACCGCGGGAUCCGUCGGACCACGAGCGAGCGAAGAAAACCAAAAGCGAACGUCGGCUAACCAGAUCUUUAGUUUUGCAUUUAAAUUGUAUAGAAUAGUCUAUGCUUAGUUAAACUGGAGAGGAUUUCUUCUUGAUUGCUUCUUUAAGCGAUUUCCUUAAGAGAGGAUCCCCUUGGGCAAUAGAUUUAAAGAAAAUGGAACUUCUUAUAGAAAAGAAGGAAGGGAAGCAGUUCAUACAUCAUAUUCAACAUUCAACUGCUUACAGCAGUUGAAAAUAGAAUGACUUAUGGAGCCUUAAUAGACCCAUUUAUUUGGAGAUGAGUUCAAUAGAGCGUGAAAUGCAGUGAUCCUUAACGAAAGCACAUCUGAAGAUGAGUGAUUUAAUUUCCAGAAUUAGUGGUUGUCUUGAUAUUUUUUUAGUUUCAAUAGUAAUACAAUCUGUAAGAUAUGUGUUGAACGUACAUAUUUCAAGAUAUUUUAACAACAUCUAUGUUUAAUAACAAUACUUAUAAACUUUAUUAACUAAUUUAUUUGUUUAAAAUAAUUGGUGUUUAAAAUAAUAAAAAAACGAAUCAACAAUCCCUUUGUCAGAAGAUAUUAUUCUAAAAAGCAUUAGACUCUUUGAGUUUGCUAAAGCUGAAUAUGACUGGGACUAUCAACAAGAAAUCACACAGAAAAUAUGAUUCGAAUUUUAAUAAAAAUUGACAAUACUGGAAUAACUUUUGAUAAAACCAAAAACAUUCUUAUUUUUAAGGAAAAAGAUUGGAGGGAAUUUGUCUUCUUUAAUCAAAGCAAUACGCAGUUCAAGUCUUGACAAAAUUCUAAAAUUGUAGUUAUAACAUGAUGUAUGUAUUAAACUUCAUUUAAGUGUAUAUAAUGUUUAGUUGCAAAGGAAUAAAUUAUGUAUAUUUUAAAAUAUCUUUUUAUGUAGGAACGCGAAGAAAAAACCAUCUCUGACGAACGGUGAAUUAAACCCUUUAUCAGAAAACCAUAAAAUAAAUCAUAUGGGUCAACUAUGGCUUGCAUCGGUAAUUCGCGCCUUUACUGAAAAAAAUUGGGGUACUGGAGUUACUGGCGGAUAUUCAUAAACCAACUUAAUAGAAGAACUAAUGCAACGACCCCCUUACGACGCAUUACGAGUAUAAAAAAAAGAAAUUCCGGACUUUUAUCAACGAGGAAACAAAUUGAUUACGGUGGUAGCGCAGGAGGCUCCCUCCCUCUCUCCCUGUCCCUCAUUCCGGAUCCAACUGGGCCUAAUUACUUUGCUAGGUACCCUCACUGACUCACUACUACAACUAGACUCGGUCUGAUGAUGGUAAUUCCGGUAAUGCCUGAUGCUUCCUCCACGGUUUGGUGAUGUUAGUUGCGUUGUUGUUCACGCCCGUCGCGAAGCGGGGUGCUAUUUUAACAUAUUUUAUGGAUUAGCUAAUGGUGACAUGUCUUCACAUAGAUGAUUAUCCCGUCACGUAAAUUUAAGAAUCUUAUUUAAGUCUUAAAUAUAAUUGACUUAGAUAUCGUU